This 200-nucleotide ribosomal RNA is filed under the name uncultured bacterium. RNAcentral's name for it is "partial 16S ribosomal RNA". It matches the Rfam family "Bacterial small subunit ribosomal RNA", at positions 8 to 208 of the family's 1533-position model. The record is from RNAcentral.
AGAGUUUGAUCCUGGCUCAGGACGAACGCUGGCGGCGUGCCUAACACAUGCAAGUCGAGCGGAGAUUGUAGCAAUACAAUCUUAGCGGCGGACGGGUGAGUAACGCGUGGGCAACCUGCCUUUUACAGGGGGAUAACACAGGGAAACUUGUGCUAAUACCGCAUAACACAGCGAAGUGACAUCACUUUGUUGUCAAAGGA